AUACGGAGGAUGCGAGCGUUAUCCGGAUUUAUUGGGUUUAAAGGGAGCGCAGACGGGUCGUUAAGUCAGCUGUGAAAGUUUGGGGCUCAACCUUAAAAUUGCAGUUGAUACUGGCGUCCUUGAGUGCGGUUGAGGUGUGCGGAAUUCGUGGUGUAGCGGUGAAAUGCUUAGAUAUCACGAAGAACUCCGAUUGCGAAGGCAGCACACUAAGCCGUAACUGACGUUCAUGCUCGAAAGUGUGGGUAUCAAACAGGAUUAGAUACCCUGGUAGUCCACACGGUAAACGAUGGAUACUCGCUGUUGGCGAUAUACGGUCAGCGGCUUAGCGAAAGCGUUAAGUAUCCCACCUGGGGAGUACGCCGGCAACGGUGAAACUCAAAGGAAUUGACGGGGGCCCGCACAAGCGGAGGAACAUGUGGUUUAAUUCGAUGAUACGCGAGGAACCUUACCCGGGCUUAAAUUGCAAAGGAAUAAUCUGGAAACAGGUUAGUCUUCGGACCUUUGUGAAGGUGCUGCAUGGUUGUCGUCAGCUCGUGCCGUGAGGUGUCGGCUUAAGUGCCAUAACGAGCGCAACCCUCGCCGCCAGUUACUAACAGUUAAUGCUGAGGACUCUGGCGGGACUGCCAUCGUAAGAUGUGAGGAAGGUGGGGAUGACGUCAAAUCAGCACGGCCCUUACGUCCGGGGCUACACACGUGUUACAAUGGGCGGUACAGAAGGCAGCUACCUGGCGACAGGAUGCCAAUCCCUAAAGCCGCUCUCAGUUCGGACUGGAGUCUGCAACCCGACUCCACGAAGCUGGAUUCGCUAGUAAUCGCGCAUCAGCCACGGCGCGGUGAAUACGUUCCCGGGCCUUGUACACACCGCCCGUCAAGCCAUGAAAGCCGGGGGUACCUGAAGUGCGUAACCGCAAGGAGCGCCCUAGGGUAAAACCGGUAAUUGGGGCU
This 945-nucleotide ribosomal RNA is filed under the name uncultured bacterium. RNAcentral's name for it is "bacterial SSU rRNA". It matches the Rfam family "Bacterial small subunit ribosomal RNA", at positions 523 to 1482 of the family's 1533-position model. The record is from RNAcentral.